Molecule: long non-coding RNA, 219 nt
Filed under: Homo sapiens (human)
Lineage: Eukaryota; Metazoa; Chordata; Mammalia; Primates; Hominidae
Source: RNAcentral
CCACAGACUUCCCUUGUUGAGGUGAGGCAGCGCCUUCGACGUCUCUGACUCCUAGGCCAGGUGUGUGUCUAGCUCCGUGAUGGAAGGUGCCAGCUUCCCUUGUAAGUGACCAGCAUGGGCUCUGCUUCACCCUUCCGGGCUCCCAGCUUACCCAGACCUUAGCAGUCUGCUGACUCCAGCUUUCAGCAGAGCAGAAACAACGCCUUGGGAAGACUUAAA